This 2706-nucleotide long non-coding RNA is filed under the name Pan troglodytes (chimpanzee). RNAcentral describes it as "lincRNA". The record is from RNAcentral. Lineage: Eukaryota; Metazoa; Chordata; Mammalia; Primates; Hominidae.
GCUGUGGAAGCUUUGUCCUUGCGGUCUUCACAGUAAACCUUGUUACCACUCACUCUUUGGGUCUGUGCCAUCUUUAAGAGCUGUAACACUCACUGCGAAGGUCCACAGCUUUAUUCUUGAAGUCAGCGAGACCAUGAACCCACCGGCAGGAACUGACUCUGGACACAAUGGUGGCUCCUGACCAGACCCUCAGAACCUGAGGACGGGUGAUCAUUUCUGGUCCAGUGUCUUGACUGGCACCAAGUCAAGCAUUGUCCUCCACGUCAUCAGCUGCAGGCCAGAUAAUCUAAGAUGAUGCCAAACAGUCACUGCAGAGGAAUUUGCUGCACGGAGCUGUCUGGGAUGCCUCAGACCUGCCAGCGGUAGAGCUGCCUGCCUUGCUUCCUCUUGCUUACUCACAGCUCUAAGUCUGAACUUGGCUGCAGCUGUCCUGAACAGCCCAGGAGGAGCCUAGGCAGGAGGAGGCUUCUCUCCUAUGCAAUUUGGCUGAAUUUUAGUUACUCAAAAGAGCAAAGGAAGCACUUCUGAAUGUUCGUCAGGAGGAGCCAACCACCUUAGCUUGCUCCCUGAUGGGUUUUGUUCAGCCCCUGCCUUACUGUUGUCAGCCUGGACUGUCUUCUGGGCUUGGGUUCACCAUGUGUCUGGACCACGGGAGUGUCUCUAGGUGUCUCCCCUCCUGUGCAUUUCUCCUGGGCAUAGACACCCAUCCUGUGGAACACUGGGAGGAGGGUGCAAGACCCCACUGCACCCAGGCUUGGUUCCUCUUGGGUGCAGCAGCCUCAUCCCCUUGCAAGCCUUCCUCCCACUCCUCCCAGAAGGCUCUGCUUCCUCCACUUGCUCCUCUCCUAGGUGUGAGCCAGCAGGGUUUGGUCACCCAGAUAUGAAGUAUUAAUGUUGGACUCCUGUCUGGAGUCGGGAGUCUAUUAAGGAAGACGUGUGGGAGAGGCCUGUGUUCAAGGCCCUUAGAACCAUUCUGCCUGAGCCAUCAGCUCCUUAAAAAGAAAUCACCAAAGAUCCCAAACAAUGGCAGACUCCCCCUCCCACCCUUUGGGCUACUUGGUAAAUAGGCCCACCAAUUCUAUCUCCAAAAUAUCUCCCAUCAGGACCAUGUGUAUAUUGACAUCUUCAUCUUCCAUCAGGUCAGGGUUGCCAAAAAGCCUCCAUCCAAAUUUCCUGAAAAAGCCCAGUUUCUCUAAAUGUGUGCAUGAACACGGUGCUGGGCAUGGCCCUCUCCUCUCAGUCCUUCUGCAACGCCCAGUGCCUUCACAGCCAAGGCCAGACUUCCUAGUGGAAGAGCAAAGUCCCUCCUGACACGGCUUCUGCUUGCAUCUGCAGCCCCACUUCCCCCACACCACGCUGCACCCUGAGCUCCUCACGGAGAGCCACCGUGUUUCACACCUGCCGUGCUCUGGGCCAGGUCGCUGGGCUUGCUGGUCCUUAGACUUGGAGCACCUGAUGCUGUUUGCCCAUCUGUCUCCUUGUCAGCCUUUGAGAAUUGGAUCUGGCAGCCCCUCCUCAGGAAGCCCAUGAGAGCCUCCGCCCCGUACUCACACAGACCCUGAGCUAGGUGGCCCCUGCCUGUGCCCCUCAGCUCCCAGCCCAGCUUCCAUGCAGCUUUAGCACAGUUUACCAGCACCAUCAAGACCCCUCUGGGAGGACAGAGAGCUCUGAAGGACAGAACACGCAUGCCUUUCUGGUUGUUCCUCUGAAGCCUAGCACAACACUGACACGUGAGAAAUACCGGCUGAAUAAAAGGUGGAAGUAAAAAAGAACAACACUGACACGUGAGAAAUACUGGCUGAAUAAAAGACACUGUGCAUUCCCUGCCCAUGAGGAAGGAAGCAGCUUAUUCCAUUUUCACCCCAGCAGAACCCCUGCAUGCAGGUUUAGGUCAACACUAGCUGCCAGCAGGAUGGAGACCCAGCAGCACGCGGCAGACAGGAGUCUCGCCGCGGGUCCUUGAUAGAAGAGUAACGAGACUUUUCUUGAAAUAGUGUCCUGAGUUGAGAUCUGAGAAGAACCUGUUAUGCAUCCUAGAACACAGUGCAUUUGCAAGUCAUAAGAUGUUAGCACCGAUUAUGGAGCCUCGUGUGUUCUUAGGGGCUAUUUCCGUGACCUCGUCGGGGGUUCAAUGAGCAGCUUCAACAGAAAAUUGGAUUUCCUUUUCCUCCAAGGCUGUCUUAUUUCCAGAUUACUCUGGACCUAAUUUGAAUCGUGCACACCUACCAUGGCAGGCUGUUUUCCUGUCCACCCAAUGAUCUCCAUACAAUCUCACUGCUGGGUAGCACCUCCAUUCCCUUGCUUACCUAAGCCAUCAAAACCUGCAACAACUCACAAAACCACAAAAAGCAACAGAAAAUAUCAGAAGAUAAUCCAAUGAAUCAAGACCUCCAGAAAACUGUGCAUAAUAUAAUUCAGUUUUUAUUUCAUUUAAUGAUAAUGUCCACAGUUAAUCAGGCAUUCCUUAUCAUUUGGAUCUACAUGUUGAAUAAACACAACAUCCCUAGACCUUUGAGGGUUUUCUAAAUAAUCUGCUGUUGAUUUUCUUAGGUACUGACCAGAUUACUAUGAAUAUUCCUGAUAGAAUAUGCUGACAAGAAACAAACAGGACAAGCCUAAAAUAGAGGCUCUGGUAAACAUUCAGGGAAAAGUUUAUUACUGACAUGUGAGAGCUCGGUUUUCAAGGUUAAUAAAAUAAAGUUGACA